CUUCUGUAUCUUGAAGUAAUCCCUUUUUGUGGCAUUUUUAUAGAGCAGUUACUGUAUAGAAAUCUCAUGAAAUCAUGCUGUACAAAUAUCCACUUUUGUUUUUCAGUGAUCAUGAUAACCUUCUUUAUGAGACAAUGUUGAACCUGCCUAUUAUAAACAGGGCUAAUAGUAUAGGUAAGAAGUAUGUUUUCAGAGAGGGGAAAAAAAGGUAAGAAGUUAGUAAUGGGCUUUCAUAGUGUCACUUAAAUAUUAGUGAAAGUUUCAAUCCCAUUAAAAAGAUAACCUUUUUUAUGAGAUAUUGUUGAACUUGCCUAUCAUAAACAGUGGUGACAAUAGUGUAGGUAAUAAGUAUGUUUGCAGAGAAGGGAAAAAAAUGCAAGAAGUUUGUAAUGAGCUUUCAUAGAGUCACUUAUUAAGACUAUGACGAAGUCCUUUGAAGUCACGGAUUUACCAGUUCGCUCAGCAAAAUUUAUUGCACGUAAACAAUGGGUUGUCGCUGGAGCUGAUGACAUGCAUAUCCGGGUAUACAAUUACAACACGAUGGAUAAAGUCAAAGUAUUUGAAGCACACACGGACUACAUCAGAUGCGUGGCUGUCCAUCCAACUCUUCCUUAUGUGUUAUCAUCAUCUGAUGACAUGCUUAUCAAGCUUUGGGACUGGGAGAAAGGUUGGAUGUGUACCCAAAUAUUUGAGGGCCACUCCCACUACGUCAUGCAAGUGACUUUUAAUCCAAAAGACACCAACACUUUCGCGAGUGCCUCUCUAGAUCGCACGAUAAAGAUUUGGAAUCUUGGCUCUCCCGACCCAAAUUUUACCUUGGAUGCCCAUUUGAAAGGAGUAAACUGUGUCGAUUACUACACCGGGGGUGAUAAGCCGUACCUAAUCACUGGUUCUGAUGAUCAUACUGCUAAGGUGUGGGAUUACCAAACAAAAAGUUGCAUUCAGACACUUGAAGGUCACACACACAAUGUUUCUGCUGUUUGUUUCCAUCCUGAACUUCCAAUUAUAAUCACCGGUUCUGAGGAUGGUACUGUUAGGAUAUGGCAUGCAACCACAUAUAGGCUUGAGAACACAUUGAAUUACGGUCUUGAGCGAGUGUGGGCAGUUGGAUACAUGAAAAGUUCGCGGAGGGUUGUAAUUGGAUGCGAUGAAGGAACCAUCAUGAUUAAAAUUGGUAAAGAAGUACCAGUUGCUAGUAUGGAUAGUAGUGGAAAAAUCAUAUGGGCCAAGCAUAAUGAGGUUCAAACUGUGAAUAUUAAAAGUGUUGGAGCAGAUUACGAGAUCACUGAUGGAGAGCGAUUACCUUUGGCUGUAAAAGAGUUGGGGAGCUGUGAUCUUUACCCUCAAAGCUUAAAGCACAAUCCGAAUGGGAGGUUUGUCGUUGUAUGCGGGGAUGGCGAGUACAUUAUAUAUACCGCUUUGGCAUGGAGAAAUAGAUCCUUUGGAUCUGCAUUAGAGUUUGUGUGGUCAACUGAUGGAGAAUAUGCUGUCAAAGAAAGUACUUCAAGGAUUAAGAUAUUCAGUAAAACUUUCCAGGAAAGGAAAAGCAUAAGACCAACUUUUUCUGCUGAACGCAUUUUUGGGGGAACCUUGCUAGCAAUGUGUUCGAACGACUUUAUAUGUUUUUACGAUUGGGCUGAGUGCAGGUUGAUUCGUCGAAUUGAUGUCAAUGUCAAAAAUCUUUAUUGGGCUGAUAGUGGUGAUUUGGUGACAAUUACCAGUGACACAUCAUUUUACAUGCUGAAGUACCAUCGGGACGUUGUUGCAAAUUUUUUGGAUACCGGAGGAGAAAUUGGUGAGGAGGGUGUUGAAGAUGCUUUUGAGCUUCUCAAUGAAGUAAAUGAGCGAGUUCGAACAGGGUUAUGGGUUGGAGACUGUUUUAUCUAUAAUAACUCUUCAUGGCGACUUAACUACUGUGUUGGUGGUGAGGUGACAACUAUGUUUCAUCUGGACCGGCCAAUGUACUUGUUGGGAUAUCUUGCAAACCAAAGUCGUGUAUAUCUAAUAGAUAAGGAGUUCAAUGUUAUUGGAUACACAUUACUUCUAAGCUUGAUUGAGUACAAGACUCUUGUGAUGCGUGGAGAUUUGGAGAGGGCAAGUGAAGUUUUACCCUCAAUUCCUAGGGAGCAUCUUAAUAGUGUGGCUCGUUUCUUGGAAUCUCGAGAAAUGUUGGAAGAUGCGUUGGAAGUGGCUACAGAUCCUAAUUAUAGAUUCGAUCUAGCUAUACAGCUUGGAAGAUUAGAGGUUGCAAAGGCAAUAGCCGCAGAAGUAAAGGGUGAAUCCAAAUGGAAACAAUUGGGAGAACUAGCAAUGUCCAGUGGAAAGUUAGGAAUGGCUGAAGAGUGCUUACGAAAUGCAAAGGAUCUGAGCGGUUUGUUGCUUAUAUACUCUUCACUUGGAGAUGCUGAAGGAAUCCAAGAACUUGCAUCUCUUGCCAAAGAACAGGGAAAAAACAAUGUUGCUUUUCUUUGUUUAUUCAUGCUGGGAAAAGUGGAAGAGUGUCUCCAACUGUUGGUGGAUAGCAACCGGAUUCCUGAAGCUGCUUUGAUGGCGCGGUCUUAUCUUCCAAGCAAGGUCUCAGAGAUAGUAGCACUUUGGAGAAACAACCUCAAUAAGGUUAACCAGAAAGCUGCUGAAUCUUUAGCUGACCCUGAGGAGUACCCUAACUUAUUCGAGGAUUGGCAGGUUGCUCUAUCCGUGGAAUCUAAAAUUUCUGAGAUAAGAGGAAUUCAUCCUCCUGCUGCAGACUAUCUAAGCUACAUAGAGAAAUCAAAUAUCAACCUUAUGGAGGCUUUCAAAACAAUGCAACUUGAUGAAGAGGAGGAGGCGCCACUUGAAAAUGGUGAUUUGGCUCACGAGGAGGUAGAAGAGAACGGAGAAGAACAUGAAGAGCAGGGAACCCAGGAAGAAGAGGCUGUUGAGGUCGAUGCUGAUUCUACAGAUGGCGCUGUUCUUGUAAACAGUAAUGAAACUGAAGAAGAGUGGGGUACGAAUAAUGAAGGAACCUCGUCAGCCUAAAAGCAAUUGGUUGGGCAAGUCUGAAAAUCCAAUUUUUGUUUCUGUUCUGGCGCCACGUUACUAGGGUCCAAUCAAAGACAGCGGGUUCCAGCUGUUAUACACUCUCUCUCAAGGUUAGUUCUUUGAGUGAGGAUUAGUUAAGACCAUCAAGGGAUCAGCUGUCGAAGAUGGGUUGUUUAGAUGUGGACACAAUUUUUUUUGUCAAAAUUAAAAUGAGGCGUAUAUUAAAGAACAGUUUACCAACACAAAAUUGUUAAUGGUUUCUCUAAUAUCUUAUUCUUGUAGGUUUCAUAUAUUCUGUCCUCGUCACUUUUUUCUUCUAUUUUAUUUUUAGCUUUCCUUGUAGAAUCUGAGAGCAACGGUGGAGAUAUGUAAUGUUAGGGAGGUUGAUUGUCUGUUCAGUUUUCAAUUUUGUUGUCUUUUUUUGUUUCUUUAUUUGUUGGCGGACAUAUUUUAAUGAUAUAUAGAAGUGAGGAUGCUUGAUUUCAGUUUUUCUUUUA
Papaver somniferum (opium poppy) is the source of this 3518-nucleotide RNA transcript. It is a transcript of the gene named coatomer subunit beta'-1-like, with no coding region annotated. The record is from RefSeq and is a predicted model, not a curated record. NCBI's taxonomy places the organism in Eukaryota, Viridiplantae, Streptophyta, Magnoliopsida, Ranunculales, Papaveraceae. The transcript is spliced from 23 exons.